Molecule: ribosomal RNA, 301 nt
Filed under: uncultured bacterium
Lineage: Bacteria
Description: partial 16S ribosomal RNA
Rfam family: Bacterial small subunit ribosomal RNA
Source: RNAcentral
CAGUCGCCGCGGUAAUACGUAGGUGGCAAGCGUUGUCCGGAAUUAUUGGGCGUAAAGGGCUCGCGGGCGGUUUCCUAAGUCUGAUGUGAAAGCCCCCGGCUCAACCGGGGAGGGUCAUUGGAAACUGGGAAACUUGAGUGCAGAAGAGGAGAGUGGAAUUCCACGUGUAGCGGUGAAAUGCGUAGAGAUGUGGAGGAACACCAGUGGCGAAGGCGGCUUUCUGGACUGCAACUGACACUGAGGUACGAAAGCGUGGGGAGCAAACAGGAUUAGAUACCCGGGUAGUCCCUGUCUCUUAUAA